Molecule: unclassified non-coding RNA, 205 nt
Filed under: Hevea brasiliensis (rubber tree)
Lineage: Eukaryota; Viridiplantae; Streptophyta; Magnoliopsida; Malpighiales; Euphorbiaceae
Source: RNAcentral
GGAACAUUAUUCAUCUUCGUCACUCAAAUCAUUCAAGGCCUCAGAGCAGACCAACUGCAUUUCAAAAAGUUCAACCAAAAUGGCUUCCUUAGGUGAAAAGCAUGUCAAACUUGAAUGCAGGUCUGGGGUUUCGGCAUCAGCAGAAGGUUUGGGGAAAUUAAAGAAACCAUGUCUAAUAAGGCAGUCCUUCAAUUCCAUCCAUGGC